AAGGGUUGGAAUCUGGAAGGAGCAUUGGUCAUUUAGCAGGCAUAAGGGAGAGACAAGAGAGAACAUACAGGGGAAAUCAAAUCAGCAUUUGUCUUCAAUUUCAUUUUAU
Chelonoidis abingdonii (Abingdon island giant tortoise) is the source of this 109-nucleotide non-coding RNA. The record is from RefSeq and is a predicted model, not a curated record. Lineage: Eukaryota; Metazoa; Chordata; Testudines; Testudinidae.